GUUGAUCCGUCUGCGCAUGCUCAAGGGGGGACGGUUAAAUUCAAAACCAACAACAACUUUGAUGGCUACUAGCUAACAUAUUACAAUUGUUCGAGAACAAGUUGCUACGUGGCAGAAAACAUAAGUAUUCAUAUGGAUUCCAUUGAUGAUGGGGCUCAACCAAUCACAGACAUAGAAACCUUGUUGAAUGCUCCCCUCCAUGUUUCACACCAAAGAAAUAAGAGUUCGAAUCCUGUUUUCCAAUCUCAAGACAUUUACCAAGUUUGAGAUGACCGUAGUUGUUACCUCCACCUACCCCAUCUGUCUCCUUCAUGUGCAGAACUUCCAAAAGCACAUUGGAAACACAACGAAAGACCAGGUGGAGGACAUUGUAUCAUCAGUAACACCAGCCAAGAACUACUUGAUCAAGAUUGUCAAGAGGAUCCAUAAAUGUCUGCUGUGAGACCAGCUCCAGUAAAUAAUAGUGCUAUAUUCCAUGUAGUGAAUGAAAAAAUGUACACUGAACAAAAAUAGAAAUGCAACAAUUUCAAAGAUUUUACUGAGUUACAGUUCAUAUAAGGAAAUCAGUCAACUGAAAUAAAUUCAUUAGGCCCUAAUCUAUGGAUUUCACAUGACUCGGCAGGGGUGCAGCCUUGGGUGGGCCGGGGAUGGCAUAGGCCCACCCACUGGGCAGCCAGGCCCAGCCAAUCAGAAUGAGUUUCACCCCACAAAAGGGAUUUUUACAAACAGAAAUACUCCUCAGCAUCUCAGCCCCACCCACCCCUUCACAGGCAAUAUGCCACACCUGGCAGGUGGAUGGAUUGUCUUAACAAAGGAGAAAUGCUCAAUAAUAGGGAUGUAAACAACUUUGUGCACAAAAUUUGAGAGAAAUAAGCUUUUUGUGCGUAUGGAAAAUGUCUGGGAUCUUUUUAUUUCAGCUCACGAAACACCCCAUUAUGCAUUCUAUGCGAUAGUUUUAAAUGUUGUCUACUGUACAUUUGAAUAAUUAUUGUAUCAUUUUUAAGGGAGGAAUAGUUAUCUUGUAUUGUAAAAGUUUGCAUUUGCAUAUCACCUUUGAUGUAUUGCCUCAAGAAACAACUUAAAAAAGCUUGAACAACACAAAUUGUCUUAAUUGACAAUCGUUAUUAAAAUGUUAAUA
Molecule: long non-coding RNA, 1138 nt
Organism: Oncorhynchus kisutch (coho salmon)
Lineage: Eukaryota; Metazoa; Chordata; Actinopteri; Salmoniformes; Salmonidae
Exons: 5
Source: RefSeq, a predicted model, not a curated record